This 591-nucleotide ribosomal RNA is filed under the name Fusarium incarnatum. Its description in RNAcentral is "eukaryotic LSU rRNA". The stretch from base 176 to 329 matches the Rfam family "5.8S ribosomal RNA". Lineage: Eukaryota; Fungi; Ascomycota; Sordariomycetes; Hypocreales; Nectriaceae. The record is from RNAcentral.
CCCUUUGUGGUACGCGGAGGACAUUACCGAGUUUACAACUCCCAAACCCCUGUGAACAUACCUAUACGUUGCCUCGGCGGAUCAGCCCGCGCCCCGUAAAAAGGGACGGCCCGCCCGAGGACCCCUAAACUCUGUUUUUAGUGGAACUUCUGAGUAAAACAAACAAAUAAAUCAAAACUUUCAACAACGGAUCUCUUGGUUCUGGCAUCGAUGAAGAACGCAGCAAAAUGCGAUAAGUAAUGUGAAUUGCAGAAUUCAGUGAAUCAUCGAAUCUUUGAACGCACAUUGCGCCCGCCAGUAUUCUGGCGGGCAUGCCUGUUCGAGCGUCAUUUCAACCCUCAAGCUCAGCUUGGUGUUGGGACUCGCGGUAACCCGCGUUCCCCAAAUCGAUUGGCGGUCACGUCGAGCUUCCAUAGCGUAGUAAUCAUACACCUCGUUACUGGUAAUCGUCGCGGCCACGCCGUAAAACCCCAACUUCUGAAUGUUGACCUCGGAUCAGGUAGGAAUACCCGCUGAACUUAAGCAUAUCAAUAAGCGGAGGAAGAAGGUGAAGUCGUAACAAGGUCUCCGUUGGUGAACCAUCCUAUUUUG